Molecule: ribosomal RNA, 916 nt
Filed under: uncultured bacterium
Lineage: Bacteria
Description: bacterial SSU rRNA
Rfam family: Bacterial small subunit ribosomal RNA
Source: RNAcentral
AGUUUGAUCCUGGCUCAGGAUGAACGCUAGCUACAGGCUUAACACAUGCAAGUCGAGGGGAAACGAUAUUGGAAGCUUGCUUCCGAUAGGCGUCGACCGGCGCACGGGUGAGUAACGCGUAUCCAACCUGCCCAUCACUUGGGAAUAACCUUGCGAAAGUAAGACUAAUGCCCAAUGACAUUUAUAGAAGGCAUCUGAAAUGAAUUAAAGAUUUAUCGGUGAUGGAUGGGGAUGCGUCUGAUUAGCUUGUUGGCGGGGUAACGGCCCACCAAGGCGACGAUCAGUAGGGGUUCUGAGAGGAAGGUCCCCCACAUUGGAACUGAGACACGGUCCAAACUCCUACGGGAGGCAGCAGUGAGGAAUAUUGGUCAAUGGGCGAGAGCCUGAACCAGCCAAGUAGCGUGCAGGAUGACGGCCCUAUGGGUUGUAAACUGCUUUUAUAGGGGAAUAAAGUGAGCUACGUGUAGUUUUUUGCAUGUACCCUAUGAAUAAGGACCGGCUAAUUCCGUGCCAGCAGCCGCGGUAAUACGGAAGGUCCGGGCGUUAUCCGGAUUUAUUGGGUUUAAAGGGAGCGUAGGCCGGAGAUUAAGCGUGUUGUGAAAUGUAGACGCUCAACGUCUGCACUGCAGCGCGAACUGGUUUCCUUGAGUACGCACAAAGUGGGCGGAAUUCGUGGUGUAGCGGUGAAAUGCUUAGAUAUCACGAAGAACUCCGAUUGCGAAGGCAGCUCACUGGAGCGCAACUGACGCUGAAGCUCGAAAGUGCGGGUAUCGAACAGGAUUAGAUACCCUGGUAGUCCGCACGGUAAACGAUGGAUGCCCGCUGUUGGUCUGAAUAGGUCAGCGGCCAAGCGAAAGCAUUAAGCAUCCCACCUGGGGAGUACGCCGGCAACGGUGAAACUCAAAGGAAUUGACGG